This 2882-nucleotide ribosomal RNA is filed under the name Enterobacter cancerogenus. RNAcentral's name for it is "23S ribosomal RNA". It matches the Rfam family "Bacterial large subunit ribosomal RNA". Lineage: Bacteria; Pseudomonadati; Pseudomonadota; Gammaproteobacteria; Enterobacterales; Enterobacteriaceae. The record is from RNAcentral.
GGGUUGUGAGGUUAAGCGACUAAGCGUACACGGUGGAUGCCCUGGCAGUCAGAGGCGAUGAAGGACGUGCUAAUCUGCGAAAAGCGACGGCGAGGUGAUAUGAACCCCUGACCCGUCGAUGUCCGAAUGGGGAAACCCAGUGCAAUCCGUUGCACUAUCGUUAACUGAAUACAUAGGUUAACGAGGCGAACCGGGGGAACUGAAACAUCUAAGUACCCCGAGGAAAAGAAAUCAACCGAGAUUCCCCCAGUAGCGGCGAGCGAACGGGGAGCAGCCCGGAGUCUGAAUCAGCUUGUGUGUUAGUGGAACGGUCUGGAAAGUCCGACGGUACAGGGUGAUAGUCCCGUACAUGAAAGCACACUUGCUGUGAACUCGAAGAGUAGGGCGGGACACGUGGUAUCCUGUCUGAAUAUGGGGGGACCAUCCUCCAAGGCUAAAUACUCCUGACUGACCGAUAGUGAACCAGUACCGUGAGGGAAAGGCGAAAAGAACCCCGGCGAGGGGAGUGAAAAAGAACCUGAAACCGUGUACGUACAAGCAGUGGGAGCCUCUUUUAUGGGGUGACUGCGUACCUUUUGUAUAAUGGGUCAGCGACUUAUAUUCUGUAGCAAGGUUAACCGUAUAGGGGAGCCGAAGGGAAACCGAGUCUUAACUGGGCGUUAAGUUGCAGGGUAUAGACCCGAAACCCGGUGAUCUAGCCAUGGGCAGGUUGAAGGUUGGGUAACACUAACUGGAGGACCGAACCGACUAAUGUUGAAAAAUUAGCGGAUGACCUGUGGCUGGGGGUGAAAGGCCAAUCAAACCGGGAGAUAGCUGGUUCUCCCCGAAAGCUAUUUAGGUAGCGCCUCGUGAAUUCAUCUUCGGGGGUAGAGCACUGUUUCGGCUAGGGGGCCAUCCCGGCUUACCAACCCGAUGCAAACUACGAAUACCGAAGAAUGUUAUCACGGGAGACACACGGCGGGUGCUAACGUCCGUCGUGAAGAGGGAAACAACCCAGACCGCCAGCUAAGGUCCCAAAGUCAUGGUUAAGUGGGAAACGAUGUGGGAAGGCACAGACAGCCAGGAUGUUGGCUUAGAAGCAGCCAUCAUUUAAAGAAAGCGUAAUAGCUCACUGGUCGAGUCGGCCUGCGCGGAAGAUGUAACGGGGCUAAACCAUGCACCGAAGCUGCGGCAGCGACGCUUAUGCGUUGUUGGGUAGGGGAGCGUUCUGUAAGCCGUUGAAGGUGUGCUGUGAGGCAUGCUGGAGGUAUCAGAAGUGCGAAUGCUGACAUAAGUAACGAUAAAGCGGGUGAAAAGCCCGCUCGCCGGAAGACCAAGGGUUCCUGUCCAACGUUAAUCGGGGCAGGGUGAGUCGACCCCUAAGGCGAGGCCGAAAGGCGUAGUCGAUGGGAAACAGGUUAAUAUUCCUGUACUUGGUGUUACUGCGAAGGGGGGACGGAGAAGGCUAUGUUAGCCGGGCGACGGUUGUCCCGGUUUAAGCAUGUAGGCGGAGGUUCCAGGUAAAUCCGGUACCUUUUAACGCUGAGGUGUGAUGACGAGGCACUACGGUGCUGAAGUAACAAAUGCCCUGCUUCCAGGAAAAGCCUCUAAGCAUCAGGUAACACGAAAUCGUACCCCAAACCGACACAGGUGGUCAGGUAGAGAAUACCAAGGCGCUUGAGAGAACUCGGGUGAAGGAACUAGGCAAAAUGGUGCCGUAACUUCGGGAGAAGGCACGCUGAUAUGUAGGUGAAGCCCCUGCGGGUGGAGCUGAAAUCAGUCGAAGAUACCAGCUGGCUGCAACUGUUUAUUAAAAACACAGCACUGUGCAAACACGAAAGUGGACGUAUACGGUGUGACGCCUGCCCGGUGCCGGAAGGUUAAUUGAUGGGGUUAGCGGCAACGCGAAGCUCUUGAUCGAAGCCCCGGUAAACGGCGGCCGUAACUAUAACGGUCCUAAGGUAGCGAAAUUCCUUGUCGGGUAAGUUCCGACCUGCACGAAUGGCGUAAUGAUGGCCAGGCUGUCUCCACCCGAGACUCAGUGAAAUUGAACUCGCUGUGAAGAUGCAGUGUACCCGCGGCAAGACGGAAAGACCCCGUGAACCUUUACUAUAGCUUGACACUGAACACUGGUCCUUGAUGUGUAGGAUAGGUGGGAGGCUUUGAAGCGUGGACGCCAGUCUGCGUGGAGCCAUCCGGGUUGCGGACAGUGUCUGGUGGGUAGUUUGACUGGGGCGGUCUCCUCCCAAAGAGUAACGGAGGAGCACGAAGGUUAGCUAAUCCUGGUCGGACAUCAGGAGGUUAGUGCAAUGGCAUAAGCUAGCUUGACUGCGAGAGUGACGGCUCGAGCAGGUGCGAAAGCAGGUCAUAGUGAUCCGGUGGUUCUGAAUGGAAGGGCCAUCGCUCAACGGAUAAAAGGUACUCCGGGGAUAACAGGCUGAUACCGCCCAAGAGUUCAUAUCGACGGCGGUGUUUGGCACCUCGAUGUCGGCUCAUCACAUCCUGGGGCUGAAGUAGGUCCCAAGGGUAUGGCUGUUCGCCAUUUAAAGUGGUACGCGAGCUGGGUUUAGAACGUCGUGAGACAGUUCGGUCCCUAUCUGCCGUGGGCGCUGGAGAAUUGAGGGGGGCUGCUCCUAGUACGAGAGGACCGGAGUGGACGCAUCACUGGUGUUCGGGUUGUCAUGCCAAUGGCACUGCCCGGUAGCUAAAUGCGGAAGAGAUAAGUGCUGAAAGCAUCUAAGCACGAAACUUGCCCCGAGAUGAGUUCUCCCUGAGACUUUAAGUCUCCUGAAGGAACGUUAAAGACUAUGACGUUGAUAGGUCGGGUGUGUAAGCGCAGCGAUGCGUUGCGCUAACCGAUACUAAUGAACCGUGAGGCUUAACCUUACAACGCCGAAGCUGUU